AGCUUUGCACAUUAGCAGUAUUGUAGCCAAUGAGCUUUAUCUGAGGCGUGAUUAUUGCUAAUUGAAAACUCUUACCAAUACCCCGCCAUGACGACUGGCAAUAUACUCGGCAUUGACCAUUAUUGGCAGCCUCCACAGGGA
This is a small nuclear RNA of Cebus imitator (Panamanian white-faced capuchin), 141 nucleotides long. Its record names the gene U4. It matches the Rfam family "U4 spliceosomal RNA". Rfam says of the family: U4 small nuclear RNA (U4 snRNA) is a component of the major U2-dependent spliceosome. The record is from Ensembl. Lineage: Eukaryota; Metazoa; Chordata; Mammalia; Primates; Cebidae.